This 431-nucleotide ribosomal RNA is filed under the name uncultured Glomeromycotina. Its description in RNAcentral is "eukaryotic LSU rRNA". The stretch from base 130 to 283 matches the Rfam family "5.8S ribosomal RNA". Lineage: Eukaryota; Fungi; Glomeromycota. The record is from RNAcentral.
CAUUACAGUGUUAGGCUUCGGCCUCAUUCACACCCCUUGUUGAACCUCUGGUUUCUUUGGCGAUGUCAUGGACUCGUCAAACUUUAACUCUGGUAAUGCGAUAUUGUCCGAGUGCCAUUGAAUUAUAAAAACUUUCAACAACGGAUCUCUUGGUUCCAGCAUCGAUGAAGAACGCAGCGAAAUGCGAUAAAUAAUGUGAAUUGCAGAAUUCCGUGAAUCAUCGAGUUUUUGAACGCACAUUGCACUCCUUGGUAUUCCGAGGAGUACGCCUGUUCGAGCGUCAUUACACUAUCAAGCUUCGCUUGGAUUUGAAUCACUGUCGUGGCAGGAUUCCAAUAUUGUCGGCAAUUGACCAUCUGUGAUGACUCACUCUGAGUUAAUUCGCCGGAAAACUUUCUUUCAAGUUGACCUCGGAUCAGGCGGGGAUACCC